UACGGGGGGGGCAAGCGUUGUUCGGAAUUACUGGGCGUAAAGGGCUCGUAGGUGGCCAACUAAGUCAGACGUGAAAUCCCUCAGCUUAACUGGGGAACUGCGUCUGAUACUGGAUGGCUUGAGUUUGGGAGAGGGAUGCGGAAUUCCAGGUGUAGCGGUGAAAUGCGUAGAUAUCUGGAGGAACACCGGUGGCGAAGGCGGCAUCCUGGACCAAUACUGACACUGAGGAGCGAAAGCGUGGGGAGCGAACAGG
RNAcentral lists this ribosomal RNA (253 nucleotides) under uncultured bacterium. Its description in RNAcentral is "partial 16S ribosomal RNA". It matches the Rfam family "Bacterial small subunit ribosomal RNA", at positions 524 to 776 of the family's 1533-position model. The record is from RNAcentral.